This 133-nucleotide ribosomal RNA is filed under the name uncultured bacterium. Its description in RNAcentral is "partial 16S ribosomal RNA". The record is from RNAcentral.
AGGUAACGUCAAGAAGGUCGGGUAUUAGCCAACCCCUUUUCUUCCCAAUUGAAAGUGCUUUACAACCCGCAGGCCUUCUUCACACACGCGGCAUUGCUGCAUCAGGGUUUCCCCCAUUGUGCAAUAUUCCCCA